This 497-nucleotide ribosomal RNA is filed under the name uncultured bacterium. RNAcentral's name for it is "partial 16S ribosomal RNA". It matches the Rfam family "Bacterial small subunit ribosomal RNA", at positions 28 to 507 of the family's 1533-position model. The record is from RNAcentral.
GACGAACGCUGGCGGCGUGCCUAAUACAUGCAAGUUGAGCGAUGAAGAUUGGUGCUUGCACCAAUUUGAAGAGCAGCGAACGGGUGAGUAACGCGUGGGGAAUCUGCCUUUGAGCGGGGGACAACAUUUGGAAACGAAUGCUAAUACCGCAUAACAACUUUAAACAUAAGUUUUAAGUUUGAAAGAUGCAAUUGCAUCACUCAAAGAUGAUCCCGCGUUGUAUUAGCUAGUUGGUGAGGUAAAGGCUCACCAAGGCGAUGAUACAUAGCCGACCUGAGAGGGUUAUCGGCCACAUUGGGAAUGAGACACGGCCCAAACUCCUACGGGAGGCAGCAGUAGGGAAUCUUCGGCAAUGGACGAAAGUCUGACCGAGCAACGCCGCGUGAGUGAAGAAGGUUUUCGGAUCGUAAAACUCUGUUGGUAGAGAAGAACGUUGGUGAGAGUGGAAAGCUCAUCAAGUGACGGUAACUACACAGAAAGGGACGGCUAACUACGUG